GAUGAACGCUGGCGGCGUGCCUAAUACAUGCAAGUCGAGCGAACAGACGAGGAGCUUGCUCCUUUGACGUUAGCGGCGGACGGGUGAGUAACACGUAGGUAACCUACCUAUAAGACUGGGAUAACUUCGGGAAACCGGAGCUAAUACCGGAUAAUAUUUCGAACCGCAUGGUUCGAUAGUGAAAGAUGGCUUUGCUAUCACUUAUAGAUGGACCUGCGCCGUAUUAGCUAGUUGGUAAGGUAACGGCUUACCAAGCCAACGAUACGUAGCCGACCUGAGAGGGUGAUCGGCCACACUGGAACUGAGACACGGUCCAGACUCCUACGGGAGGCAGCAGUAGGGAAUCUUCCGCAAUGGGCGAAAGCCUGACGGAGCAACGCCGCGUGAGUGAUGAAGGUCUUCGGAUCGUAAAACUCUGUUAUUAGGGAAGAACAAACGUGUAAGUAACUGUGCACGUCUUGACGGUACCUAAUCAGAAAGCCACGGCUAACUACGUG
This 497-nucleotide ribosomal RNA is filed under the name uncultured bacterium. RNAcentral describes it as "partial 16S ribosomal RNA". It matches the Rfam family "Bacterial small subunit ribosomal RNA", at positions 28 to 507 of the family's 1533-position model. The record is from RNAcentral.